AUGGCCUCUCUGACUGAUGACAUAGAAGAUUCCAUCAUUUGGAAGUUCACCAGGGAUGGGGUGUACUCUACUUCCUCUGCCUAUAGGGCUCUGUAUGAGGGACUCACUAAGUCGGAUCUUGUUCACACAGUUUGGAAGGUUUGGGCACCCCCAAGGUGCAAGUUCUUUGCCUGGCUUGUCCUUCAAAAUAGGAUUUGGACUUCGGAUCGGCUGAGAUGCCGCGGCUGGCCAAACUGUGGCCUCUGCCCUCUAUGUCAGCAAUGCCAAGAGUCGGCCGCCCACCUCCUUUUCCAAUGUCGCUACACCACCCGCAUUUAG
This 318-nucleotide ribosomal RNA is filed under the name Triticum aestivum (bread wheat). Its description in RNAcentral is "partial small subunit ribosomal RNA". The record is from RNAcentral. Lineage: Eukaryota; Viridiplantae; Streptophyta; Magnoliopsida; Poales; Poaceae.